UGAAUCAACAUGCCACAUGGCGGUAGUC
RNAcentral lists this small RNA (28 nucleotides) under Bombyx mori (domestic silkworm). Its description in RNAcentral is "ovarian small RNA-2150". Lineage: Eukaryota; Metazoa; Arthropoda; Insecta; Lepidoptera; Bombycidae. The record is from RNAcentral.